Molecule: non-coding RNA, 1163 nt
Organism: Sus scrofa (pig)
Lineage: Eukaryota; Metazoa; Chordata; Mammalia; Artiodactyla; Suidae
Source: RefSeq, a predicted model, not a curated record
GCGAGUGAGGCCAAAAAUAAAAUAAAUAAACAGGAAUGCAAAUUUUAAAACCAAAAAUUUUUAAAUACAAACUAAGAUUUCUGGAAGAUUCCUUGGAAAAGUCUCAUACCCAACGAGGAGUUAUGUAUGGUCAUUAGAGUGGAAGCAUCCAUGCCCCAGAGAGGGACACGGGUCUCUCCUGGUCUCUCUGGCCCCAAGACUCCUGUGAGAGCGAUCGGACAGGGGAAGCCCAGCUUAGGGGGACAAGCCCAGCUCUGUCCUCUCAAGGUGUGCCCCUGGGGGGGGACGCUCCCCAUCCGAGCCUGUUUCACUCUUGGAACUGAGGAUCCGCGGACUUGCGAGGUAUGCCAGGGGUUGGGGUUAGGGUUCGAGAGAGCGCAACAGUCACUGCACCAGGGGUUUUUCUUUGUAAUCUUAUCGCAUCUCCCUUAAAAUGUACUCAUAACUAGAUGAGCACGAACGGCUGCAAGGCCCGGGACCUGCCGAUACAGAGCGCGGAGCGGGGCGCAGAGCAGAAGCGCCAGCAGUGUGAUGACAAUCGGAUCGAUUCCGCACCUCCCAGCCCGGUAGCUGCGUUGCUCCGACGCUCUCCUGCAGUCGUCGUGGCAGCUCUGGCUCCGGGUCCCCGAUUGGUCACAGCCCUUUGGGCGCAGCCCCAGUUCCUCCCUCUAGUCUGAGGCCGGAACACUCUGCCCGCGCAGCUCUGAUGCGCCCCGGCAGAAGGCGGGCAAAAUCGCCACAGCAACGCUGGCUUCAGGCUUCCAACUGGGUACCCGUGUCGGUCGCCUUUGCUGCUCCCGAACCAGGCCCUGGCGGAGGGGUAAGAUGCGGUCAACGCCGCGGAGAUGAGGAUCCAACGAGUGUUCCCUUGGCCUGAAUACAAGAGGGUGCCCCGACGGGUGAGCAGAGGCCCCCUUCCGAGGAGAGCCUGGUUGGAUCCUGGUGCAGUAGAGCUUCCGGGGGAAGAAGAGAACUGGGGGAGGGCCUGGAAAAUGUUGGGGGAGCUGGGGGCGCCACGAGUGUGGAGGGAGGCAGUGUUGACUGGAUGAUGGCUCUUAGCCCUCCGGACAUCAUCAGCCAUGCGACGUCCCUUGUUCCCAAAGUACCCCCGGUGUGCCCUUGGUAUGCAGCAGGCACUCAAUAAAUACUUGUGAAUGAACGAA